ACCUCCAGAAGAAUGACGCCAAUUUUGAAUCACCCUGUAUUUAUGGAGUUUUUUGUUACAAAUUGAGCAUAUGUUGAUACACAUUUAUCGUGUUUGAUUCUUUAUGGUGAAGUAUUGUAGAUAGGUCGAAAAAAAAUGGAGUCCAGACGAAUUAGAAAAAUUGUUGCCAUAGGUGGUGAGAUAAUUACAAGAUAAGCAGAAUAAGAUCUACAAUAGAACAUUAACGUGAACAGAAGUCACGUAAUUGAUGACAAUUUUGACAGCGAUUCAGACCAGGAGCCAGAAGUUACUGAAAGUAACGUUUAUAGUAGUGAUUCCGAACAAUAAGCAGAUGAAGGAGAAGCAGAAUUUGAACCACGGGAACAGACAAAGAUUAUCAAUUUUUUAUUGGAAAAAACAGUGAUAUGUACUUCAGAUUUUUAUUUUUAGAUUUUUUACAUAUACAUUUAAUUUUGUUAGCAUUUUUUCAAGUAUUAUUUGUAGAAUUGCAUCUAUUUUUGGUUACUUGCUUUAAUUUCACUUAUUAAAUACAUUUUAAAGUAGUAAA
Long non-coding RNA from Dendroctonus ponderosae (mountain pine beetle), 547 nucleotides. RefSeq lists it as uncharacterized. The record is from RefSeq and is a predicted model, not a curated record. NCBI's taxonomy places the organism in Eukaryota, Metazoa, Arthropoda, Insecta, Coleoptera, Curculionidae. The transcript is spliced from 2 exons.